RNAcentral lists this ribosomal RNA (253 nucleotides) under uncultured bacterium. RNAcentral describes it as "partial 16S ribosomal RNA". It matches the Rfam family "Bacterial small subunit ribosomal RNA", at positions 524 to 776 of the family's 1533-position model. The record is from RNAcentral.
UACGUAGGGCGCAAGCGUUGUCCGGAAUUAUUGGGCGUAAAGAGCUCGUAGGCGGCCUGUUACGUCUGCUGUGAAAUCCCGGGGCUUAACCCCGGGCGUGCAGUGGAUACGGGCAGACUAGAGGUAUGCAGGGGAGAAUGGAAUUCCUGGUGUAGCGGUGAAAUGCGCAGAUAUCAGGAGGAACACCGGUGGCGAAGGCGGUUCUCUGGGCAUUACCUGACGCUGAGGAGCGAAAGUGUGGGGAGCGAACAGG